Molecule: unclassified non-coding RNA, 583 nt
Filed under: Hevea brasiliensis (rubber tree)
Lineage: Eukaryota; Viridiplantae; Streptophyta; Magnoliopsida; Malpighiales; Euphorbiaceae
Source: RNAcentral
GUUAACUUACACCCCCUUUCUCUCCAGAGCCUUCCCUUCCAAGACAUAUGAAAUUCACCCAACAAGCAAGAUCGUACCUUUGCUCUUUUAGGGUUAUCUCUCUCUCUCUCUCCCUCCGUGCAACAACCGCUGUCAAGGCUAGAGCUUGAGUGCUACCCUAAUCCAGUGAAAAGAAUGGGCUCCAUUAUGGCAGAUGUUUUCAGGGACUGAGGUAGGUAAACGACAACUCUUUGACAUCUCCAAAGUACUGAGAGAGGCCUUUCUUUCUUCCCUUCCUUUUUUACUUAUAAGGACAAUGACUUGGUUUUUAAUUUCAUGUGAAGCAAGAGAAAAAAUUUGGUAUUUUUUUGGCUGCAAAAUCUCCUACUAAAGCAACCAUUUUGAUGCGAGAGUUUUUCUCCAAAUUCUUGAUAAAAAUUAGUUGGGUUUCCUGCAAGUGCAUGGAAUAAUGUGCCUGGUGCUUGUUUAGCUCGGUAUAUGAGUUGGUUUGAUCUCAACGCGAAGGAAUAUAUGAGUUCUUUGGAGAUUGCAUAUUGGUGACAACGCUGUUUAAUCCGACAAAGUUUGAGAUAAUUGAUGGUGU